This 327-nucleotide ribosomal RNA is filed under the name Staphylococcus aureus. RNAcentral describes it as "bacterial SSU rRNA". It matches the Rfam family "Bacterial small subunit ribosomal RNA", at positions 1 to 316 of the family's 1533-position model. The record is from RNAcentral. Lineage: Bacteria; Bacillati; Bacillota; Bacilli; Caryophanales; Staphylococcaceae.
UUUUAUGGAGAGUUUGAUCCUGGCUCAGGAUGAACGCUGGCGGCGUGCCUAAUACAUGCAAGUCGAGCGAACGGACGAGAAGCUUGCUUCUCUGAUGUUAGCGGCGGACGGGUGAGUAACACGUGGAUAACCUACCUAUAAGACUGGGAUAACUUCGGGAAACCGGAGCUAAUACCGGAUAAUAUUUUGAACCGCAUGGUUCAAAAGUGAAAGACGGUCUUGCUGUCACUUAUAGAUGGAUCCGCGCUGCAUUAGCUAGUUGGUAAGGUAACGGCUUACCAAGGCAACGAUGCAUAGCCGACCUGAGAGGGUGAUCGGCCACACUGG